AUACAUCCCUAUAAUGUUCAACUUUUUAUACUUGUUCCUACAAAAGUCCAGAUCCGUUAGAAAAAAAUAUAGUUAAUCAGAGUCCGGCUAUGAUGCUUGUAAAAGUACAAAGUAUUUGGUGCUUGUAAAUUUUUUGCUGUUAGAUCUACGCCUUUAAUCAUUUUCACCUGUUAGAUUAUACCAUUCAACCAACCACCCAGUUAACCCUAGGGGGCCCACAUCAUCUUAACCGCACAUUCCUUAAUCCAAGGGCUAAAAACUUACAAGCACCAAUGACUUGGUACUUUUAAAAGUAUAUGAGCUCAAUUUUAGUUAAUCAUACAUAAAAUACUUAACCCUGAUUAGUGAAUAUGAUAAAUUGACAUUUUUAGCCCUUUUAUAUUACUUGUGAUGGUAGAAAAAAAGAAAAUGAUUGUUGGAGAUUUUUAGAAGGAUAUUUCUGCAUAAUUCGAACAGUUGGUGCUUUUGGAGGAAUAUAUUUGCAAUGGCAAAAAUUUCAUUUUACUUAUUUUCUAUUAAAAAGUAAGCAAUUCUCUAACGAUAACAAACGAAAGAGUCAAAUAUGAAUAUCACAGGACUUUUGCAGAGAUAAACAUGAAAAGUUAAAGUUUGUAGGGAUAUAUUUGCUAUUCGAUAUAUUUACAAAGAUCUGUAUGAAAUUAAUCCUAUUUAUUAUUGAACUAUUUAUGUUAUUUAAUUAUGGGUAAAUUGCAGAAACUAUACAAUGGGUGGCACUUUAAUUCUCAAUUUUUAAUUUAUUAUAAUUUUUUAUUUGUAUUUUUAGAAAUAUUAUAAUAUUAUAAUAAAGGCUUAUAAUCCAAUUUAAUUGGAUGCAUAUUAUUAUAUCACUAACAUACAAGGGACAUAACAGUGUUAUGAUUAAUGAUGCGUCAAUAAUUAAGAUGUUACAUUUCUUUUACAUGAACGAUAUAUUAAAAUUUAGUAAAUUAAAUUGAAUUAGGGGACUUAAUUAUAAUAAUUUUGAAAAUUUGAGCUAGAAAUUAAAAUUUAAAAACUAAAGUGUCACCUGCGGCGUAAUUUGAAGACCAAACAUAUAAUUUAUCUUAUUAAAAAUAUUGUAUUAAACUUUGGUAAAAACGUUUAAAACUUAUCUCAACUAUCACCAAUUUUGGUCUAACUAUCUGAUAUUUAAAAAUUUUAAUUUUACUAUCGAACCUUUUAAUUUAUUUUAUCUGAGUCAAUCAGUGAUCUUUUAAGUUCAAAAUUUCAACGCAUCGUUUAUCUUAACAGGUUUAAUUAAUAUAUUUUAUAUAAUUUUUGUAACUAUAAAUUUAUUAAAAUAAAUAAUUAGCUUAAAUUUUAUAUU
This 1327-nucleotide long non-coding RNA is filed under the name Ananas comosus (pineapple). Its description in RNAcentral is "long non-coding RNA (ACOM_LNC006766)". Lineage: Eukaryota; Viridiplantae; Streptophyta; Magnoliopsida; Poales; Bromeliaceae. The record is from RNAcentral.